GCUUUUGUAGUUCAAUGGAAGAACACUUUCUCUUAGCAGAAAGAGGUCCAAGUUCAAAUCUUGGCAGAAGCU
RNAcentral lists this transfer RNA (72 nucleotides) under Magallana gigas (Pacific oyster). RNAcentral's name for it is "Crassostrea gigas (Pacific oyster) tRNA". It matches the Rfam family "tRNA". From Rfam's summary of the family: Transfer RNA (tRNA) molecules are approximately 80 nucleotides in length. Their secondary structure includes four short double-helical elements and three loops (D, anti-codon, and T loops). Lineage: Eukaryota; Metazoa; Mollusca; Bivalvia; Ostreida; Ostreidae. The record is from Rfam by way of RNAcentral.